This 975-nucleotide long non-coding RNA is filed under the name Eucalyptus grandis. Its description in RNAcentral is "long non-coding RNA (EGRA_LNC006508)". Lineage: Eukaryota; Viridiplantae; Streptophyta; Magnoliopsida; Myrtales; Myrtaceae. The record is from RNAcentral.
UGGGGAUGGCAAAGCAUCCUACUCGGCCGCGACACAAUAAAGAACAAGAUGAAAUGGUCAGUAGGAGACGGGACAUCUAUUCGCAUAAAAGAAGAUAGAUGGCUGUCACAAGGAGUAAUUGGUGGGGCAGUAAACCAAACUGAGCCUAAAAUUGUGUCAGAACUGAUCAAUCCAGAAUCAAAUGACUGGAACCAGCCACUCAUAUACCAACUUUAUGAAGAAAAAAUUGCAAACGAGAUCACCGCCAUCCCCCUUACCCAGCCACCACAGAAAGACACGAUUAUAUGGACAGGGAACAGCUCAGGACAAUAUUCGGUCAAGAGCGGCUACAACGAAGCACGAAAAGCUACCAGCAAUACAGAUCAGAAUCGACCCUCCUGCUCUUACCAACCCCCACGUACCUUAUGGACACAAAUGUGGAGUCUCGAUGUGCCCCCAAAAAUUCGCUCCUUCCUCUGGAGUAUUUGCCAGAACGCCCUCCCGACGAAGGAAAACCUAUUCAGAAGGAAAAUUGUUAGUGACCCCCGAUGCCCUAUAUGCUAUUCGAGUACAGAAACAACAGAACACUUGCUGUUCUUCUGCAAGUGGACAAAAAAAAUCUGGCAAGACCCAAUUUUUGCAACGAUCAGGCCAAAUAAUGGCCUCCAACGCACGGAUCAGUGGCUUACAAGUGCCUUUCGAAGAGACAGGAACUUACCCGAGCGAGAGCUGGUCAGUCUGGUUCUGUGGAACAUCUGGAAGGCGCGAAACAACCGGAUCUUUCGUGCGCAGGAACCCCGACCAGCAGAUCUGCUGCUUGCAGCACAGGAACAACAGUACUCGUUCAGCAAGAGCACAUCAAACAGAAGAGAGAGAUCUCCCAAUCGAAGCAAACCUGGUCCGUGGAGGCCUCCGGAAGGGCAAAAUCUGAAGAUGAACGUCGAUGCAUCGUGGCAACCCGGUGAUCUCCUCUGCUCUGUCGCCGGAGUGGUUCGC